GACGAACGCUGGCGGCGUGCUUAACACAUGCAAGUCGAACGAAGAGCGACGGAAGCUUGCUUCUAUCAAUCUUAGUGGCGAACGGGUGAGUAACGCGUAAUCAACCUGCCCUUCAGAGGGGGGACAACAGUUGGAAACGACUGCUAAUACCGCAUACGAUCUAAUCUCGGCAUCGAGGAUGGAUGAAAGGUGGCCUCUACAUGUAAGCUAUCACUGAAGGAGGGGAUUGCGUCUGAUUAGCUAGUUGGAGGGGUAACGGCCCACCAAGCCGACGAUCUUUAGCUGGUCUGAGAGGAUGAUCAGCCACACUGGGACUGAGACACGGCCCAG
RNAcentral lists this ribosomal RNA (330 nucleotides) under uncultured bacterium. Its description in RNAcentral is "bacterial SSU rRNA". It matches the Rfam family "Bacterial small subunit ribosomal RNA", at positions 28 to 334 of the family's 1533-position model. The record is from RNAcentral.